This 671-nucleotide long non-coding RNA is filed under the name Mus spicilegus (steppe mouse). RNAcentral describes it as "lncRNA (ENSMSIG00000027371.1)". Lineage: Eukaryota; Metazoa; Chordata; Mammalia; Rodentia; Muridae. The record is from RNAcentral.
GGGGUCAACCUCCAUUGUGACACUUCUAAACCCCACCAUCCAAAAUUCCCAAGGAGUGGCAGCUGGGGCCAGAAAUGGAGGGACCAGAACCACAGAACACAAACAAGGGUCCUUUGGCUGCGUUGACGUCUUCAAACAGCCCUGCUCAAGAAGCUCACGACCAGCAUCCCAGGGCUUGAGAAGACAAAAAUGGCAGCUGAGAGCUUUUCAACAUGGUAGGCAUUCCAAGCUUCCAGUGGGCUUUGUCCAGCAUGCUCUAACGAGACCUCCCUUGAAAUCGAUGUAUUCCAACCCAGGCUGGUUGACAGGCAAUAGGAAAGGCUGAGGAGAAGCUCUGCUGGGAUGGCUCUGCUGGAGCGAGCUACUGAUGAAAGGGGUCCACAAAGAAAAUGCACAGCCGACUGCGCAUGGCGCACAAACAUUUACCUUCUCAGACACCGGAACUAACGGCAGAAAAAUCAUCUGGAACAGGAAGGCAAUUAAAAGCCCAUUCCAGAAUGGAGAGGCAGAGGCUCUGCCCUGCUCUACCCUUGAAGAUGAUGAAGAAUAAUGUACCUCCCUGUCAAGGCUGUGUGUGGAUCAGAGCUUCGAGAGAGGCGGAGGGAGGGGCUCUCCAUAGAAACUAUGUAAAUGGCUUGGUGCAUAUGGCUUCAAAUACGUCGGAGCCCUAG